RNAcentral lists this ribosomal RNA (459 nucleotides) under uncultured bacterium. Its description in RNAcentral is "partial 16S ribosomal RNA". It matches the Rfam family "Bacterial small subunit ribosomal RNA", at positions 28 to 507 of the family's 1533-position model. The record is from RNAcentral.
GAUGAACGCUGGCGGCGCGCCUAACACAUGCAAGUCGAACGGCACCCCUCCUCGGAGGGAAGCGAGUGGCGACCGGCUGAGUAACACGUGGAGAACCUGCCCCCUCCCCCGGGAUAGCCGCCCGAAAGGACGGGUAAUACCGGAUACCCCGGGGUGCCGCAUGGCACCCCGGCUAAAGCCCCGACGGGAGGGGAUGGCUCCGCGGCCCAUCAGGUAGACGGCGGGGUGACGGCCCACCGUGCCGACAACGGGUAGCCGGGUUGAGAGACCGACCGGCCAGAUUGGGACUGAGACACGGCCCAGACUCCUACGGGAGGCAGCAGUGGGGAAUCUUGCGCAAUGGGGGGAACCCUGACGCAGCGACGCCGCGUGCGGGACGGAGGCCUUCGGGUCGUAAACCGCUUUCAGCAGGGAAGAGUCAAGACUGUACCUGCAGAAGAAGCCCCGGCUAACUACGUG